GGUUAAAAAGCUCGUAGUUGGAUUUCUGUUGAGGUCGGGCGGUGUACACCUCGUGUAUUAUUUGCUUCGGUCUCGGCAUCCUCUUGGGGAACGUAUCAGGACUUUAUUGGACUGUGCGAGAUUCAAGACUUUUACUUUGAGGAAAUUAGAGUGUUCACGGCAGGCAAGUGCUUUGAAUACAUUAGCAUGGAAUAAUAAUAUAGGACCUUCGUUCUAUUUUGUUGGUUUCUAGAACUUAGGUAAUGAUUAAUAGGGACAAUUGGGGGCAUUCGUAUUAACGCGUCAGAGGUGGAAUUCUUGGAUUGCGUUACGACAAACUACUGCGAAAGCAUUUGCCAAAGAUGUUUUCAUUGAUCAAGAACGAAAGUAUGGGGAUCGAAGACGCUUAGAUACCGUCGUAGUCUAUACCAUAAACUAUGCCAACUAGGGGUUGGACGGGUUAUCCUAUGUGGCUCGUUCAGCACCUUAUGAGAAAUU
Molecule: ribosomal RNA, 477 nt
Filed under: uncultured marine eukaryote
Lineage: Eukaryota
Description: SSU rRNA
Rfam family: Eukaryotic small subunit ribosomal RNA
Source: RNAcentral